RNAcentral lists this ribosomal RNA (513 nucleotides) under uncultured bacterium. RNAcentral's name for it is "partial 16S ribosomal RNA". It matches the Rfam family "Bacterial small subunit ribosomal RNA", at positions 28 to 507 of the family's 1533-position model. The record is from RNAcentral.
GACGAACGCUGGCGGCGUGCUUAACACAUGCAAGUCGAACGAAAAGAGGGAAAGAGCUUGCUCUUUCCGGAAUUGAGUGGCAAACGGGUGAGUAACACGUAAACAACCUGCCUUCAGGAUGGGGACAACAGACGGAAACGACUGCUAAUACCGAAUAAGUUCCAAGAGCCGCAUGGCCCAUGGAAGAAAAGGUGGCCUCUACCUGUAAGCUAUCGCCUGAAGAGGGGUUUGCGUCUGAUUAGCUGGUUGGAGGGGUAACGGCCCACCAAGGCGACGAUCAGUAGCCGGUCUGAGAGGAUGAACGGCCACACUGGAACUGAGACACGGUCCAGACUCCUACGGGAGGCAGCAGUGGGGAAUCUUCCGCAAGAGGCGAAAGCCUGACGGAGCAACGCCGCGUGAGUGAUGACGGCCUUCGGGUUGUAAAACUCUGUGAUCCGGGACGAAAAGGCAGAGUGCGAAGAACAAACUGCAUUGACGGUACCGGAAAAGCAAGCCACGGCUAACUACGUG